AAGACUCUCUUCAGUGUCGACCAAGAUGAACAGAUUAGGAAACACAGAUACAAGAGCUGCCUCGACGAAAACGGCUUCAACCAACUUGAUGACGUGGAUCCUGAGGUCCUCCUCACCCCUACAGGACCAGAGGCUCUGUCACUGUUCGGUUCCGAGGAGAAGCACAAGGCUGUGAAGCAGUGCGUCCUUCAGAAACUGCUGAGGCCUGACGGGACAGUCGACCCGCAGCCCUUCUUGGAAAGGCUGACUCUCGCCCUCACUGACACCCGUCCUGACAUCCUGGAGCGCCUGCUUUACACUGCAGACUCGUGCCCGAUCAAAAAC
This 324-nucleotide long non-coding RNA is filed under the name Penaeus japonicus. RNAcentral's name for it is "uncharacterized LOC122262990". The record is from RNAcentral. Lineage: Eukaryota; Metazoa; Arthropoda; Malacostraca; Decapoda; Penaeidae.